RNAcentral lists this microRNA precursor (210 nucleotides) under Oryza brachyantha (malo sina). Its description in RNAcentral is "MIR812 microRNA precursor family". It matches the Rfam family "MIR812 microRNA precursor family". The record is from Rfam by way of RNAcentral. Lineage: Eukaryota; Viridiplantae; Streptophyta; Magnoliopsida; Poales; Poaceae.
AAUAAGAUCAUUUUUUAGUUCUUAGAUACCAUGUUUUGACUUUUAGUCUUAUUUGAAAUUUUUUUGCGGUUAAUAUUUUUGGUUUUACUAGAUGAUAAAAUAUGAAUAACAUUUUAUGCGUGACUAAUUUUUUUAAAAAAAUUUAACAAAUUUUUCAAAUAAGAUGAAUGGUCAAAGCAUUAGACACAGAAAUCGAAAAAUGACUUUAUU